UAUUAGGGAGCUACCAUUUGAUUUUUAUGGGGGGCUAGGAUGAAAUUUGAAAAAAAUAGGCAGGACAGGAGUUUUGAGUAAAAAAAAAAGGCAGGAUGAGACACUUGCAAAAAAAAAAGUCAGGAUGACAAUUUAGGUAAAAAAAAAUCAGGAUAAACUAAAAAAAAAAAAGGCAGGACCGAACAGAGUUAAAAAUAAAAAGGCAGGACAGAGAUUACAGUUAAAAAAAAAUGCAGGACAAAAUUUUUCAUCCUAGCCCCCCCCCCAUAAAAAUCAAAUGGUAGCUCCCUUAG
RNAcentral lists this long non-coding RNA (293 nucleotides) under Mytilus galloprovincialis (Mediterranean mussel). The record is from RNAcentral. Lineage: Eukaryota; Metazoa; Mollusca; Bivalvia; Mytilida; Mytilidae.